ACGGGAGGCAGCAGUGGGGAAUAUUGGGCAAUGGGCGCAAGCCUGACCCAGCAACGCCGCGUGAAGGAAGAAGGCUUUCGGGUUGUAAACUUCUUUUACCAGGGACGAAGGACGUGACGGUACCUGGAGAAAAAGCCACGGCUAACUACGUGCCAGCAGCCGCGGUAAUACGUAGGUGGCAAGCGUUGUCCGGAUUUACUGGGUGUAAAGGGCGUGUAGGCGGAGAUGCAAGUCAGGAGUGAAAUCUAUGGGCUCAACCCAUAAAUUGCUUUUGAAACUGUGUCCCUUGAGUAUCGGAGAGGCAGGCGGAAUUCCUAGUGUAGCGGUGAAAUGCGUAGAUAUUAGGAGGAACACCAGUGGCGAAGGCGGUCUACUGGACGAUUACUGACGCUGAGACACGAAAGUGUGGGGAGCAAACAGGAUUAGAUACCCUGGUA
This 437-nucleotide ribosomal RNA is filed under the name uncultured Pseudoflavonifractor sp. RNAcentral describes it as "partial 16S ribosomal RNA". It matches the Rfam family "Bacterial small subunit ribosomal RNA", at positions 341 to 792 of the family's 1533-position model. The record is from RNAcentral. Lineage: Bacteria; Bacillati; Bacillota; Clostridia; Eubacteriales; Oscillospiraceae.